CCUUAGCGGCGGACGGGUGAGUAACACGUGGGGUAAACCUGCCUCAAAAGUCGGGGGAUAGCCUUUCGAAAGGAAGAGUUAAUACCGCAUAAGCCUCCGGUGCCGCAUGGCGCUGAAGGAAAAGGAGCAAUUCGCUUUGAGAUGGAACCCGCGGCGCAUUAGCUAGUUGGUGAGGUAAACGGCUCACCAAGGCCACGAUGCGUAGCCGACCUGAGAGGGUGAUCGGCCACAUUGGAACUGAGACACGGUCCAGACUCCUACGGGAGGCAGCAGUGGGGAAUAUUGCACAAUGGGCGAAAGCCUGAUGCAGCAACGCCGCGUGAGUGAUGAAGGCCUUCGGGUCGUAAAGCUCUUUGAUCAGGGAUGAUAAUGACAGUACCUGAAAAACAAGCCACGGCUAACUACGUGCCAGCAGCCGCGGUAAUACGUAGGUGGCGAGCGUUGUCCGGAAUUACUGGGCGUAAAGGAUGCGUAGGUGGAUAUUUAAGUGGGAUGUGAAAUCCCCGGGCUCAACCCGGGAACUGCAUUCCAAACUGGGUAUCUAGAGUGCAGGAGAGGAAAGCGGAAUUCCUAGUGUAGCGGUGAAAUGCGUAGAUAUUAGGAGGAACACCAGUGGCGA
Molecule: ribosomal RNA, 619 nt
Filed under: uncultured bacterium
Lineage: Bacteria
Description: SSU rRNA
Rfam family: Bacterial small subunit ribosomal RNA
Source: RNAcentral